RNAcentral lists this ribosomal RNA (465 nucleotides) under uncultured bacterium. RNAcentral describes it as "partial 16S ribosomal RNA". It matches the Rfam family "Bacterial small subunit ribosomal RNA", at positions 28 to 507 of the family's 1533-position model. The record is from RNAcentral.
GACGAACGCUGGCGGCGUGCUUAACACAUGCAAGUCGAACGGAAAGGCCCUGCUUGCAGGGUACUCGAGUGGCGAACGGGUGAGUAACACGUGGGUGAUCUGCCCUGCACUUCGGGAUAAGCCUGGGAAACUGGGUCUAAUACCGGAUAGGAGCCAUUUUUAGUGUGAUGGUUGGAAAGUUUUUUCGGUGUAGGAUGAGCUCGCGGCCUAUCAGCUUGUUGGUGGGGUAAUGGCCUACCAAGGCGGCGACGGGUAGCCGGCCUGAGGGGGUGGACGGCCACAUUGGGACUGAGAAACGGCCCAGACUCCGACGGGAGGCAACAGGGGGGAAUAUUGCACAAGGGGCGCGAGCCUGGUGCAGCGACGCCGCGUGGGGGAUGACGGCCUUCGGGUUGGAAACACCUUUCGCCAGGGACGAAGCUUUUUGUGACGGUACCUAGAGAAGAAGCACCGGCUAACUACGUG